This is a long non-coding RNA of Gasterosteus aculeatus aculeatus (three-spined stickleback), 2540 nucleotides long. NCBI's taxonomy places the organism in Eukaryota, Metazoa, Chordata, Actinopteri, Perciformes, Gasterosteidae. The record is from Ensembl.
UCCGUUUUCUGCAUUCUGAAUACGGAGCUUCGUGCGGCAUUGUGUUGUUACCGUAUUAAUAACGUUAUAGUGCGCUGUACUACUUCUGUCUGAAUAGUGUGAACACACUAAAGAGUUUGCCGUCACCUACAUGUUGAACUGUGAACUGGUCCCAGUUUACACUGGACUCACGUUUACAAUCACGGGAAAUGAUGAUAGUCUUGUUGUUGCUGGGUGCCCUUGGUUGUAUGGCAACCACGAGGACCUAUAGUCCGGAACCUGGUGAUCGCCUCAGCUUCACCUUCAAUCUGAAACCAGACUCCUGCAACAUUUACUUCUUCCCAAGCAGAACUCGCCGGCUGAGAAUGUUGGAGAAUAAAAUAAUUCGUGGCGGCGUGCUUCAGGGGGAUUCCGAUGAACUUUAUUGCAAAGGGUUUGAUUUUUUACAUCCAUGUGGGAUUUCAAAUAAAGUCCUCCAGAUUUCUUGCGACGGACGCUAUGAGAUCCGAGAUCAGAAUGACAACACGGCCUUAAUGGUGUCACUGGAUAUGAAUCAAAUCCUAAGGACCGUAAUACGGACACCUGGUUACAACUUCAACUUCACUUUUAAUCUGGAACCAAACUCCUGUAACAUUUACUUCCGGCCAGAAGGCGACUCAGUGAUUAACUUAGUCUAUGGAGGCGUGCUGCAGGAGGGUUUGGAUGAAAUCGGUUGCAGCGGGUUUGAGCUGUUAAAGCCAUGUGGGAUUUUAAACAAGGUCGUCCAGAUGUCGUGCAACGGAAGGUAUGAGAUCAGAGAUCAGAAUGACAACACAGGCUUUGUGGUAACACUGGAAAUGGAGCGUAAGUAACCGCUGUUAUUUGAUAAGUGUCAGAUUACUGUUUUAUUUGAGUAUUGUCUGAUCAUAUGAGUUCUUUCUAUUAUCUACUUCUUGUUGAAAUGUUUCUUUUUCCCGUCGAUGAAAGUGAACAGUAAUUCAAAUCAGAGACAGGAAGGAUAUUCUCCCAUUUCAGAGAAUCAGACGGUCAAAAAUGUGAUGAUUUGAAUUGAAUGAUUGAUGCGUUACCAUAAAUGAUUGCCGAUACAUUCUCUGUCCAUCCACUAAAUGACUGAUUGUUGCAGCACAACCGUAUUCGCUACCUGGUCUCAGUAUUGGGGUUGGCGUCCUCUCCAUGUUCUUGUGCUGUUGCUGCAAGAUCUGCUGCUGUGGGAAGAAAAAGUCCCAAGAGGAGCCGACUGAAACUGCUGCUGCCGAACCAGAGGUCCAAUACCAAAGGCGUUACAAUGAGCCCUGCGGACCGAGCUCAGACCAACUCAUUGAGCCCUUUGGGACAAACUGCUUCAAUCAGCCUUCUUCUGCUCCGAGUGAUUCGCUGGUACACAACCAUCCGUUUCAGGAUUCGCCGCCCUCUUAUUCUGAGGUUUUACCUGAUGCUCAGCAGCCAGCUGCUCCAUCUCUCCCAGUGCACCAUGACCCUGAACCCAAGUUUGAAUUUAAGGGCGUGACCUUUCCCUGUGCUCCCCCACUCGAGUCCGACUCAAGCCGCUGUGACGUUUAUACCUCAGACAAACUCAACUUCCUAUGAGGGCCUUAUUUCCAAAGAUACAUCGGAAUGCGUGAACACUUCUUUGUUAACGUACUGAUUACUGGGACAUGGAAGGAUUAGCUUGAUAUUUUAGCAAAUACGCAUAUUCUUUUAAUGGAUUAAGCCAGUAAGGGAACCUUGCGUGCCCAAGGGCACCCUGGCAAUAUGUGCACGAGAGGUCUUUAUUUAAAGGUUGAAGUGCCCUUUUAUCUUCCUGCCAUAUGACCUCUUAUACAGCCAUUUGCAUUUGCGAAGCCUGUUAUUUUUGUUAUUUGUGAAAUGAAUCUUUACCCGUCCGAUUCUACCUCUUGAUUGGCUCGGACAUGUUGCCUUAUUUGCAGAAUUUGUUAGCUCUGGAUCAGUGGAAUGAAAAAUAACUUUUGAAUGAAAAUCUGAGAAAGAAUUCACAAUAAUGUUCUACCUCGUGAGUCUCACUUGAAUUGCUCACAGGAGCCUACGGAGUGAAUAGCUGCCUCAUUCCUGCUGUUUUACUGCCAUGAUUUACUGCAGACCGGCGUUACUGUGACGACACAAAGGUAAACCAGUCCUAUGUUUGCAAAGUUGUCUGUAUGUGAAAGUCGUCGUUGCUCUAGAGGUACAUUUGCUUGACGAUCUCUUGCGUGGAAUUUCACUUGCAGCUGUUAAAAACUUCUGUUAAAAACUUGUAAAAGUUGAUACUUCCAUUGUAGUUUAGUGUGGAUUCUUCAAAUUAACCUCUAUUGGCUGUUAACGAAUAUUGAUACAUAGUUAGUGUAUUUAAUUUGCUCAGGCCAGUUACAUAAAUAUAUCUAGAUGUGUAGAAGUCAUAUUAUAUGGAUUGUUUGAAAAACACAAAAGAAACAAGACCCAGUUUCGGUUUCCUGUUACAUAUUUUCAUAUGUAACUGCAUAUAUGUCAAAAUGUUACCAAACGUGCAUUACAUUAAGUCUAAUAUAUGUGGGACUUUUACAAACAUAUAUUUUUUGUGUACGUUG